This is a non-coding RNA of Taeniopygia guttata (zebra finch), 183 nucleotides long. The record is from RefSeq and is a predicted model, not a curated record. Lineage: Eukaryota; Metazoa; Chordata; Aves; Passeriformes; Estrildidae.
UGCAGGUCACAGCCCCAGUGUCCCCAGUACUGGUCACUCCAGUGUCCCCAGGAGCAGUGGUCACUGCAGGGUCACAGCCCCAGUGUCCCCAGUACUGGUCACUCCAGUGUCCCCAGGAGCAGUGGUCACUGCAGGGUCACAGCCCCAGUGGCCCCAGUACUGGUCACUCCAGUGUCCCCAGGA